This 393-nucleotide ribosomal RNA is filed under the name uncultured bacterium. RNAcentral describes it as "partial 16S ribosomal RNA". It matches the Rfam family "Bacterial small subunit ribosomal RNA", at positions 523 to 918 of the family's 1533-position model. The record is from RNAcentral.
AUACGGAGGAUGCGAGCGUUAUCCGGAUUUAUUGGGUUUAAAGGGUGCGUAGGUGGUUUGAUAAGUCAGCGGUGAAAGUUUGCAGCUUAACUGUAAAAAUGCCGUUGAAACUGUCGGACUUGAGUGUAAAUGAGGUAGGCGGAAUGCGUGGUGUAGCGGUGAAAUGCAUAGAUAUCACGCAGAACUCCGAUUGCGAAGGCAGCUUACUAAGCUACAACUGACACUGAAGCACGAAAGCGUGGGGAUCAAACAGGAUUAGAUACCCUGGUAGUCCACGCAGUAAACGAUGAUUACUAGCUGUUUGCGAUACACAGUAAGCGGCACAGCGAAAGCGUUAAGUAAUCCACCUGGGGAGUACGCCGGCAACGGUGAAACUCAAAUGAAUUGACGGGG